GAUGAACGCUGGCGGCGUGCUUAACACAUGCAAGUCGAGCGAGAAGUUUUGAAAAGAUUCUUCGGAUGAAAUUUAAAAUGGAAAGCGGCGGACGGGUAAGUAACGCGUAGGCAACCUGCCCCAUACAAAGGGAUAGCAUUUGGAAACGAAUAUUAAUACCUUAUGAAACUUAACUAGUGCAUGCUAGGUAGGUCAAAGAUUUAUCGGUAUGGGAUGGGCCUGCGUCUGAUUAGCUAGUUGGUGAGGUAACGGCUCACCAAGGCGACGAUCAGUAGCCGACCUGAGAGGGUGAACGGCCACAUUGGAACUGAGACACGGUCCAAACUCCUACGGGAGGCAGCAGUGGGGAAUAUUGCACAAUGGGGGAAACCCUGAUGCAGCAACGCCGCGUGAACGAUGAAGGCCUUUGGGUCGUAAAGUUCUGUUCUAGGUGAUGAAAACUGACAGUAACCUAGGAGAAAGCCCCGGCUAACUCCGUG
RNAcentral lists this ribosomal RNA (479 nucleotides) under uncultured bacterium. RNAcentral's name for it is "partial 16S ribosomal RNA". It matches the Rfam family "Bacterial small subunit ribosomal RNA", at positions 28 to 507 of the family's 1533-position model. The record is from RNAcentral.